This is a non-coding RNA of Misgurnus anguillicaudatus (oriental weatherfish), 1005 nucleotides long. Lineage: Eukaryota; Metazoa; Chordata; Actinopteri; Cypriniformes; Cobitidae. The record is from RefSeq and is a predicted model, not a curated record.
CGAGAGCGAUUUAAAAUCAAACUCCUCCGUAUGAUUUCGCGAAUCGCUCUCGCGGUACUUUGACGUCAUCUGUCUGUCGGUUCUUGCGGCACCGCAUGAAGUCGAACAAGCCAAAUAACUUCGGUUAAAGUAAAAUAACGUCACUGACAUUUCCCGCGAAAUCGUACUGGACAGCUUAAUAAUAAUAAUAAACCAUUAUUUUAAGCUUACCGUUGUGGAUAAGAAACAAUGAAAGGAAGCUGACUGCAGAGGCCCAUAUUUAUUAGGUUUUGAUGACAGCAUAAAUUCCUCCAGCACACAAGCAAAAACAGCUCAAUAGCUUUUAAUCACUUUCCCUAUAUGUGUUUAUUCAACAUUGUGUGUAUUACAACUAAGCCAGGAAAGAAAUAAUAUAUGAUUUGUAUGUUACUAUAAUAGGUAUUUAACUGAUUCUUUUAUUCGCCCACCACAGGCCAAUUGCAUGGUCAGAUCUCUAAAGGCUAGUAUGGGACUAUCUGAGAUCUUGACCUCUGUGCAUCAUGCUUUGCAUGUUCCAACUAUCUCCAAUUCCAAUCACCUGACAUGGAUCAUCUGACUUUGAUCCCCUUUUAUACUUGAGUUAAAAAGCUAAAGUGGGUGUCCGAAAAUCCAUGGGUGGAUUGCUGUAUGGGUCACAUUGUUGCAUUGAGCUCUGUGUUGUAAUCCACUCUGACACAACAUGCCCACUGCAUCAAUGAGAAAAUGCCAGAUCUGUCAUAUCCCGGAAACAUGAAAAGCUUCUGUUGUCAUUGAGAAAGACCAUGUGAGCUUUAUAGUCUUUAUUCCCAUUCAUUCUUGUUUGUCUGCUCAUGAACUCAUUGUCAUAAGUGCAUUGAAACAUUUAAAAACAAUGAAAUAAUACAGCUUAAUUGUCCGACUGGUGGGAUGAAUUUAUUAAUGGAUUGUAAAUGGCAUUGAUGGUUAACAGUAUGACUGGACGUGAUCUGACUAUCAUUUUCCUGUUAAAUACAGUAAAGUCUAAAUGAA